ACACGGGAAGGAGGUGGUCCGAUAAAUGAGUGACAUACGGACGAGUGAGGUGGCGGCGGCCUAGCCGUUCGACCAGGACGCGGCGUGAUCCGCCCGGUCGAGAGGCCGGCUAAUCCACAGCCAACACCCGAACCCGCGAGUGCCGGACCGUCCAUCCGGCCGACCGCACAGCUCCACCGGAGCCCGGUUGACAAGCUCGCGGGUUUGUCCAU
Molecule: small RNA, 212 nt
Filed under: Microlunatus sagamiharensis
Lineage: Bacteria; Bacillati; Actinomycetota; Actinomycetes; Propionibacteriales; Propionibacteriaceae
Description: Friedmanniella sagamiharensis Actinobacteria sRNA Ms_IGR-5
Rfam family: Actinobacteria sRNA Ms_IGR-5
Source: Rfam by way of RNAcentral